UUGGUGCAUGCAGAGGUUGAUAUAAUUCUGAUAUAAUUUUUCCAUUUUGAAGGACAUGACACGCAAAUUUCUACCAUCUUUAGGCCAUUUGUGAACCAAAAAUAGAGAUGGCUCCAUUCUGACAUAGCCGUAUUAAUGCAUUAACCAGCACAUGAGCACUGAGGAGAAAAACAACACCUAUAUCCCAGACUCAUGUGUUUGAUAGAACAGCUCUUAUGAUAAAAAUCUCAACAUAUACAUUGCCCACCAGCAAGCCUGCUAGUCAACAGGCUAUUGCUAGAUAACAUUUAGCAACAAAGCCCUCAGCAAGGCCUGACUGAGAGCACAUGGAUAAUAAAGAAAAACCCUCUAGCUAAAUGUUGCAUAUAACACAACUACUUGCAUGGUUUAUUCCACUGCACACUUGAGUGUCACAUUUGUAAACUCACCCCCAGCCAUUUAAGUGGGUGCUUCAUGGGAAUACACAGUCCCUCAGCCACCGAGACUGCACCAUUCCAACACUUGAAAAUAACAACCAUGUCCUAAAUGGUGCCCUACUCCAUAUUUCCCUAUUAAUAUAACCUAAAAUUGGACCCUCCUUAAUUAGUGCACUACAUAGUGAAUGGGGUGUGAUUUCAGACACCCUCUCAGUCUUGUGAGAAUGAAUCUUAUUAGUAUAUGUUAUGGUGUUUCUUAAAAUGGCUGACGUCCUAGAGAGAACUAAGUAGAUGUGAAUUCUAGCGUUUAGGAAGCCUUGGACUGAACCUUCUGAGUAUCUAAUACAUGGUUUCACUUGGUUCUGGAUACAGCAAGUCAGGAGAAAUCAUACAAAUCAUUAGCAAGUGGAAACUACAGUCCCAUGUUUUGGAUGAAAACCUACUUAACUUGGUAAAAAGUGUGUUUCACCAGACCUUCUGCUGAUCCUGAAUAGACGGACACUUAUCCAGCCUAAUUAAUCAAAUUAACAAAUUCAUCUGUAAAAUGUGUCCCUGUCGAUGGCUAGACUACAUCCUAGCUGAUGUACGUAGUGCAGCAGGCAGCGGGAUUCAGAAGUUUGUUACAGCAUGGAGCAUUGACAAGUGGCAGCAGGAGACCUAGCCUGAGGAUGAAAACCCUGUGUGACGCACAAAGAGACCAGGGCGUUCUACUACGAAGAAAAAAAUGGACAUAUUAUAUGCGCUAUUAAAAUGAAAUUCUAUAGAAUAUUCCUCUGAUGUGGUAUUUCUAUAUCUUCUAUACAAUAACACUAAAAAGACAUUAAGAAUAUAAUAUGAAAUAUAAGAAUAUAAAGAAUUUGUACACCAGACAUAACUUCUUAAGAACAGCUAAAAACAUUACUAUUACUGAAAUGGUCUUUUUCCCCAGAGGUUCAUGUGCAAUUUUCUAAACACAAUCAGUUCCUUUCACCUUGAUAUAAUUAAACCUAUUUAGCAAACUGCACAGGUUAAGUACAUUCCACCACACACACACACACACACACACACACACACACACACACACACACACACACACACACACACACUCAUGCACAACAGAUUUCCACUGUAUAAGGUGCAUUUUAAACCAUCGCACUGGGACACUGGGUGUGAGAAAACACACACUAAGUGCCACUAAGAGCAAGCGGAGGUGUUGCAGGAAGAGUGGGAGGGUGAGUGGGGAACAGGUGAGCAUGUUACGUUAUCAAAAUUACACGUCUGGUAUUACCAUUAAUUAAUCGAGACACACAGGUGAAAUGGGAAAGAGGGAAGCGGGGGGCAUCAGAGUGGGCUUAUAAAUGCAUUAGAAAAGCAAGAUGUCAGACUAACAUCAACACACUGAUCUGUUCCCCUUCAGCCAGAUGGGGAAAGAAAAAGAGUCACCGUCAGAGCCAUCCAUCAACUAAAGACAAUCACUGCUUGGAGGUAAAAUUCACUUAAAGAGGAAAAUGUUUGGUUUGAAGCAAAAUUCCAGCAACUAACCAUUAGAACUUAUGAUUUGCCGUGUUAGUGCACGAUACAAAUCAUAUUACUGAUUAAAGGUAGGUCUUAAUAAUAAAAAAAUAAAUAAAUAAAUAAUAAUAAUAAUAAAUAGCAACAUGUGAUCGCCAUCAACUGGUGACAAAUCUAGGAAUCUCAUCCAUUGUUAAUGCAUCUUCAAAAUCGCAGGCACUUAAGAAACCCAACAAGCUCGGACUCACUGCAAACCUCACUCU
This is a long non-coding RNA of Pangasianodon hypophthalmus (striped catfish), 2170 nucleotides long. RefSeq lists it as uncharacterized. The transcript has 3 exons. NCBI's taxonomy places the organism in Eukaryota, Metazoa, Chordata, Actinopteri, Siluriformes, Pangasiidae. The record is from RefSeq and is a predicted model, not a curated record.